AGUAACUGUAACUGGAAUUGGGUUGAUUCAUUCAAAUUCACUUAUAAAGAUGCCUGAAUUACUCUGGCUUGUGUUCAGCCUAGCCACUUCAAUAUGUCUUGCAGCUGCACGUGGUGAAGUGUGCCACCAGUACUCGCA
This 138-nucleotide non-coding RNA is filed under the name Heterosigma akashiwo. The record is from RNAcentral. Lineage: Eukaryota; Raphidophyceae; Chattonellales; Chattonellaceae.